CCUACGGGAUGCAGCAGUGGGGAAUAUUGCGCAAUGGGCGAAAGCCUGACGCAGCGACGCCGCGUGAGGGAUGAAGGUCUUCGGAUCGUAAACCUCUGUCAGCAGGGAAGAACGGUCACUGUGCUAAUCAGCAGUGAAUUGACGGUACCUGCAAAGGAAGCACCGGCUAACUCCGUGCCAGCAGCCGCGGUAAUACGGAGGGUGCGAGCGUUAAUCGGAAUUACUGGGCGUAAAGCGCUCGUAGGCGGUAUGUCAAGUCAAGGGUGAAAUCCCCGCGCUCAACGUGGGAACUGCCUUUGAAACUGGCAAACUGGAGUGUGUGAGAGGAUAGUGGAAUUCCAGGUGUAGGAGUGAAAGCCGUAGAUAUCUGGAGGAACAUCAGUGGCGAAGGCGACUAUCUGGCACAUAACUGACGCUGAGGAGCGAAAGCGUGGGUAGCAAACAGGAUUAGAUACCCCAGUAGUC
Molecule: ribosomal RNA, 465 nt
Filed under: uncultured bacterium
Lineage: Bacteria
Description: partial 16S ribosomal RNA
Rfam family: Bacterial small subunit ribosomal RNA
Source: RNAcentral